This 478-nucleotide ribosomal RNA is filed under the name uncultured bacterium. RNAcentral's name for it is "partial 16S ribosomal RNA". It matches the Rfam family "Bacterial small subunit ribosomal RNA", at positions 28 to 507 of the family's 1533-position model. The record is from RNAcentral.
GAUGAACGCUGGCGGCGUGCUUAACACAUGCAAGUCGAACGAGAAGUGAAGACGGAAACCUUCGGGCGGAAGGCUUUAUUUCGAGUGGCGGACGGGUGAGUAACGCGUGGGUAACCUGCCUCAUACAGGGGGAUAACAGUUGGAAACGACUGUUAAUACCGCAUAAGACCACAGCACCGCAUGGUGCGGGGGUAAAAACUCCGGUGGUAUGAGAUGGACCCGCGUUCGAUUAGCCAGUUGGCGGGGUAACGGCCCACCAACGCGACGAUCGAUAGCCGAUCUGAGAGGAUGACCGGCCACAUUGGGACUGAGACACAGACCAAACUCGUACGGGAGGCAGCAGUGGGGAAUAUUGCACAAUGGGGGAAACCCUGAUGCAGCGACGCGGCGUGAGUGAAGAAGUAUUUCGGUAUGUAAAGCUCUAUCAGCAGGGAAGAAAAUGACGGUACCUGAGAAAGAAGCCCCGGCUAACUACGUG